CCUACGGGUGGCAGCAGUGGGGAAUAUUGCACAAUGGGGGAAACCCUGAUGCAGCGACGCCGCGUGAGUGAAGAAGUACUUCGUUAUGUAAAGCUCUAUCAGCAGGGAAGAAAAUGACGGUACCUGAGUAAGUAGCGCCGGCUAACUACGUGCCAGCAGCCGCGGGAAUUCGUAGGGGGCAAGCGUUAUCCGGAUUUACUGGGUGUAAAGGGAGCGUAGACGGCAGUGCAAGUCUGGAGUGAAAGGCGGGGGGUCAACCCCCGGACCGCUCUGGAAACUGUACGGCUGGAGUGCAGGAGAGGUAAGUGGAAUGCCUGGUGUAGCGGUGAAAUGCGUAGAUAUUAGGAGGAACACCAAUGGCGAAGGCAGCUUACUGGACUGUAACUGACGUUGAGGCACGAAAGCGUGGGGAGCAAACAGGAUUAGAUACCCCUGUAGUC
RNAcentral lists this ribosomal RNA (440 nucleotides) under uncultured bacterium. RNAcentral describes it as "partial 16S ribosomal RNA". It matches the Rfam family "Bacterial small subunit ribosomal RNA", at positions 338 to 795 of the family's 1533-position model. The record is from RNAcentral.